RNAcentral lists this long non-coding RNA (1100 nucleotides) under Olea europaea (common olive). Its description in RNAcentral is "long non-coding RNA (OEUR_LNC006418)". Lineage: Eukaryota; Viridiplantae; Streptophyta; Magnoliopsida; Lamiales; Oleaceae. The record is from RNAcentral.
AAACACAAAAAGUAUUUAUUUUGACAUACUUAUAAGUAACUUUUUAAAGCUUUACUAAACAUGCAAUGUAUCUACACUUCUUUACGUAUAUUCAUCUCUCCUAUAAAAUUAUUUUCAAUAAGCUUCCAAACAUAAUUUCUAUUUUCUUUCUCAAAUACAGAGGGGAACUAAGGUUGGUCCACCACAGUAUAUUUCCUGCUUAUCCCGGUCCCAGCAUUAUUUUUUGGCUUUAUUUCUGCUUAAAAAUAUUUGGCUUCUCAUUAAAAGUUACUUUUUUUAGGCCAUGUUUGAACCGUAUUUUCUUUAAAAAAAAAAAAUACAUUUUUAAGUAGUGAUUUGAUAUCAUUUCAACCACACAUUUUUCAAUAAAAUAAUAUUACAUUCAAAUUCAAAAAUUUUCUUUAUUUUUUAACCACACAUUUUUAAUCAAUCUACUAUUUCAAAAUACAUUCUUUCAAAAUAAUGUGACUCAAAUACACACUUAAUCAUUUAAGUAUAAAAAAAUCAACUUUUUUUAUUUUUCUUUUGGAAAAGCAAAAGAAGAAAAAAAUCAUGUUCUUACUUACAUCUUAAAAGUUGAAGUUUACUUUUAGCUUAGGGUUAAAGAAACUUGAAUUAGUUUGAAUUUCUUUUAAGAAAUGUAGGAUGCACUUUUAUAGAAAGGCUCAAGUCCUGCACGUCUAGGGGUUGUCACCCAAGAAUAAACCUUAUAGAAAUUCUCAAUUAAAAAUGGGUUCUUGGCUCUUGUCACAAUCAAAAACAAAAUUGACUGCCUAGAUUACUUUUUGAUUAAUUGCUGACAAAUGUAAUAAUUAUAAAUAAAGGCUUUUUAGGCUCCUCAUGGAGUGGUCGAAUUGGUGAAAUAGGUGAGCGCAAAAAUCUUUGAUCACGAGUUCGAUUCCCUCUACCAACACUUUCUCAGUUAAGUCUAUCGCACCGAACUUGCCUAGUACGAUUUACCUGGCUCGCGUGAUUUGUAGACUAUUGCAUCAUCCUGAGAAUUUACUCAGUGCAUAUCCGAAGGGUAGCAGCUACGGGUUCCCCGUCAUAAAAAAAUAAAAAAAUAAAUGAAGGCGUUUUGGUCACACUUUUCCUUUUUC